Long non-coding RNA from Pleuronectes platessa (European plaice), 3052 nucleotides. RefSeq lists it as uncharacterized. The transcript is spliced from 2 exons. NCBI's taxonomy places the organism in Eukaryota, Metazoa, Chordata, Actinopteri, Pleuronectiformes, Pleuronectidae. The record is from RefSeq and is a predicted model, not a curated record.
UCUGGACUGACACCACAGACAGGAGCAUGUAGAGUAAAGCUGUUAAAGCUCCGGUCCAUCUCAACUUCAGAAGAUGUCUGACACCAGCAGCUUCCUCUCUGUGGACAGAAGACAUGUCAGCAGCAUCUGACUCUGGGUGGAAGUUCCUCAGGAUCCUCGCUGCUCUCAGUGGACUUUGCUGACAUGGCUCCAUCCCCUGAUCGCUAGGGUGCAGACUCUGGCUCCUGAUGCGCAAGAUGGCACCUUUCACCUCCGGGAUAUUUUGGCUUCUUUUCUGAGCAUUGGAAAAAAGUAGAGACACAUCUUUUAUAUGCACUCUAUGAAUUACGGUCUCCCAAGUCAUUGUCCAUUAACUUUACAUAAUGCACUGUAUAUAACAGUCAGAACAGAGUUUUUCCUCUUACAACGGGGAAAAGAAAUCCACGACAUGUCACUCCUUCAACCCUUUAACAAGUUGAAUUCAACAGGUGGAUUUAUCACUCAGGACAUUUUCACUUGUUUGGUAAAAAAAAAAGUUGUAAGGGACAUUUCUGCGUAUUUGCGUGUGUGCAUUUGAGCAAGUUCACAGGUAGUGUAUCCUCUCAAGGCCGGUUGGCAGUCAGGGCUACUGUAAACAUCCUUGACUGGAAGCUGGUGUUAGGUUCUGGGGCUUUCAGUCGGAUGUUUGCAGCAGCCAACUGCUAGUACCAUCGCUACAGUUCACCUGCUGUCGCCAAAUGGGUGGGAAGUCCACUGAAACACAACUGUAAGUACAGACUGUUGAGUGAUGACAAUGAUGACAGGACGAGGAAAGGAAAUGUUUGUGGAUCAGUUAUGAUAAAUUUGUAUUCACCAACAUCUUUUCAGUACUGCAAACUAUGCAUACAUUUACCUACUACACACUAGUUUUUAUUUGUAUUUCGCCAAAUAAUAAAAUACAUUAUCUCAAGGCACUUUACAUUGAAGGUCAAGACCUCACAUUUUUAGAGAAACCCAAGAUUUACCAAAAUGAGCAGCACUUUGGCGACUGUGGAAAGAAAAAACUACCUCAUUAACUGGCAGAAAUGGCUAGUAGAGCCACACUCAGUGUGAGCGGAGAUCUGCCUUGAGCGGCUGGGAUGAGCAGGAACAAAUUAGGGAACAGACGGGAGAGAAGAGAGAGAAACCAGUAACAGCAUCACGAUUCAGCUCUGACAAGUUGUUAAAAUGAAAACAAUAAGAGUGAUAAAUAUGGAUUUGGAGAUGUUAUUAAUGAUAGCAGCAACAAUCUGCAAGUGUAAGUGGAGUCAAUUUUUGUCUCUGCUAGCUCCCUACGGCUUCUCCUUCAUACCUUUCCUUGACUUAGUGACUUAGUGAGUUUUCCAUCGGGAUCAAGGAAUAGUGGCUAGGAAAGGAGAUUAUUUUCAACCAGAGAUCAAGUGACUUUCAUUGGCCCAAUUACCAUUUAAGUAACUGCUGCCUGAAUAAACUUUCAAAACACUUGCUGCAAGGCUGUUUGUAAAAGUCUUUCUUAUCACAGAGAAUGUCUCAAUUCCUAUUAAACAUAAAUAUUUAGUAAUAGGGCCAGUUAUCAAAAUAUAUGUGAAGGGAAAGGAGUGUGAGUCCACAGAGAAAUGGCGGCCAGUGAUAGCUGUCUCCAUUCAUUUCCCAGUGGAUGGGAGGGGCCUCAUCCGCUCCUGAGAGACCGAGGACCAGGGGGGUGCGAAGGAAUGGAGGCGGGCUAAUGAAUGGAAAGAGGAGCAGGAUGGGAAGAAGGGGGAAAACAAGGGAAAAUAGGUGAUGGUAGCUGAAGAAAUGGAACGGAAGACUGUUUGGUCUUGGUUUUUUUCCCUCCCCCUUCAUCAGUCAGUCGGAGUAGAGGGGAAGUGGGUGUAACGUGCACUACAGGGCCAGAGACGGGGAAGGAAGAAAGGAAGGAAGCAUUCUAAUAUUACCCCCUCCCACCCCCACAUUCAUCAUAUCCAUGAAUGAAAACACGCUGUGCUCCUUACAGUUUCAGUUCAAACAGUCUCAGCGUUCUUUCCUUGGUGCUGGUAAACCCAGGAAAUAGUUCAGUUCACAUAAAGCUCCUCCAUGUGGAAAGUUCCAGCCCAGCGACUUCUAGGCGUCUGUUAUUUGUUUGUGCUGCUGUGUUUAUAUGAAACUAAAUCCCAUUAGUUUCUAUUUAUUUGAAAAGGAAUGGUCCAUGAGUAACUAGUUUACAAAGAUAGUUCACCCAAAAAUGAAAAUUCAAUCAUUAUAUACUCACCACUAUGCUGAUGGAGCAGUUGGUGAAGUGUUUGAGUCCACAAAACACUUUGGGAGUUUCAGGGGUAAACGGCGUUGCAGCUGAAUCUAAUACAAUUGAAGUAACCGGGACUGAUUCUUCAAAUGUAAAUAAACAACAGGAAAAAUUCAUUAAGAUCAAACUCAGUUUCCUGUACAGGAUUAAAAGUGGUCUGUCGCCAUCAAAUCUGAAAAAAUAUUGUCCAGACUUCAUAUCAGUCCUUGACUAUGGAGAUAUUCUCUACUUGACACGCAGCCCCAUCAUACCUCCAGCAGUCAAACCCAGUGUCUCACAGUGACUCAUUUUUUUUUAUUGUGUUGUUUUGUUGCUCGUGUUCAGUUAGUUUUUUGCUGCUGAUUGUGAAUGUGUCUGGUUCUCAGGCCUCUCUUGGAAUAGAGAUCUUGAUCUCAAUGUCACUGCUUGAUUAAAUAUAGAUUAAAAUAAAUAAAACAGUAUCAAGUUGCCCUGUGACCUCUAAGUUCUAGGUAGUGUAAACAUCCUACACUCUCGGCGUCUGCCCCCUGGUGGCCGGGAGUGAGACUGUUUGCUCCAUCUGGCUCAGAAGCUCGACAAGCAGCAGGGGUGGAACGUUAGAAUAUAAAAAUAUAAAUAUAUUAUAUUCUCUUCAUUCAGAGUCCAGAGCAGAAUAUAAGUUACAGCACAGAAACAGAGGCUGUUGUGUCCUCUCAGUUUCACAUGCUUUUACUUUUAAUUCUCUUUGUCAUUAAAGUUGACAUCAACUGUGUUAUAAUGAUCUCAUGUAACUUUGCUGUGCAGCCUGUUGGAAUAAAUAGUUACGAGACUAAA